Molecule: unclassified non-coding RNA, 691 nt
Filed under: Hevea brasiliensis (rubber tree)
Lineage: Eukaryota; Viridiplantae; Streptophyta; Magnoliopsida; Malpighiales; Euphorbiaceae
Source: RNAcentral
AUUAACCUUUGCAUAUAAAAUUGAAUUGUGGACAACUUCCAUGAGCAUUGGCAAAUAUAUUAAGAAUUUGCAAGAACUAGAAGUAGAAGGCAUACAAUGGUAGUCAAGAUUUCUUCCCUCCUAAUCAUUUGCUGCUUUGUCCUGGUUGUAGUCCUCCACACCAUUCCGCAGGGUCUGGCUUCAAUAAGGAUCCUAGAGGAUAUUCCUCAAAACGGUACGACUAACAACAAUUCGACUGGAUACAACAAAAGCAAAGGACCAAGCAAAACUGGAGUCCAUGGAAGUGAAUCGCCCCAUGCCGGUUCAGCCACUGGCGGUAGUUCUCCUUCUGGGACAGUCGUAAUGCCACCUCCAACCGCAGUCACUAGGGUGGAAUAUGGAUCUGGUGGAAAUGGAAAUAGUCAAGAUGCAGGUUAUGGCGGCGGUGGAGGUGGAAACCAACCAUCCACUCAAUACAACUAUUCCCCACCGGAGCACGAUUAUAGUCCCCCAGACUACAACUAGGUCUAGUUAUAAUUUUAUUGUGCAACAAUGGUGCUGCCCCCGUACCAAGUUGUGUAUGAAGCCAUUUUUCAAUAUAUGUUGCUACAUUUCUAUGAAUACGAUCGACCUUUUAACUUGCUGGGUACUCUGUGGAGAAUGAGAAUAUGUCAUCACUCCUGGGAUUGUUUUUCUGGCAAGAAUUUUCCGG